GAAGAGGCUCGGAAACAGGAAAAGUGUGGUUUUCACCUCUGCUCGGGCUACCACAGAGGCAUGAACUCUGUCUCGAGAUGCUGCAGAUAUGGAUGCCUUCCUCUCAUACCUGUCAGGGAGCCUCUCUAAGAGGGUACAGGCACCGGACUACCAGUCAUAGGCAGGUUCAUUCAGGUAUAGAGAGAUACCACCUCUCUAUACACGAAUACCAGAGAAGCGAGGACCCCAGUUCUUCAAGAAAGGGCUGAGUCUUUGGCCUUUCAAAGCUGUAGAUCAGGAGAUCCCUGUUUUAGUGUUUAGUUAUGAAGAAGCUGAGGACAAGCUCUGCCGCCCUUCGCCUCACACUGUCAUGUUCCCUCCCACAUAUACACCUUGUAGUUUUUCCCUCUAGGAAAAAAGGGCUGCUAAUAGGGUUUUAAUUAUUUUUUGCUCAAUAUAUGUUUGAAAAUUAAAAGGUUUUGACCUUAA
RNAcentral lists this long non-coding RNA (468 nucleotides) under Rattus norvegicus (Norway rat). RNAcentral's name for it is "long non-coding RNA NONRATT016674". Lineage: Eukaryota; Metazoa; Chordata; Mammalia; Rodentia; Muridae. The record is from RNAcentral.